RNAcentral lists this long non-coding RNA (502 nucleotides) under Lupinus angustifolius (narrow-leaved blue lupine). RNAcentral's name for it is "long non-coding RNA (LANG_LNC001132)". The record is from RNAcentral. Lineage: Eukaryota; Viridiplantae; Streptophyta; Magnoliopsida; Fabales; Fabaceae.
AAAUGUCAAUUAUAUCAUCCCUCGUGUUUCUAUUUAUAAACUCGAGACGGUCUAUCCUUUAGGUCAUAUAGCCACAAAAUUGAGAAUGUCAUCCAUGAUGGGGCGAUUUGUUGGUCCAACUUCACUAGGAGGAUUGUGUGGAAUAGAGGAGUGCAGAGGAGUAGAAGGAGGAAGUACCAUCGGUAAGUUCACUCUUGUGCUUAUAAAUAUCAUCAAGUGAAUCUUGAAUAAACUCUAUCUUAUGCAUCACAUACAAAUCUAUUAUGUGGCAACGAGAAUGAAUUUCGUCUUUCUAUAGGUGGAUAUGUGGAACUUGUACAAAAUAUGAGUAAUAAGCCAUGCAUAAGGUGAGGGCUAUUCUUCUCCUUAAGAUGAUUCUUGUGAUUCAUGGCUAUGUAGGACCAUUGGACAGGUUUCAGUUAUUUCAAAGCAUACAUUAAUUUUAAUUCAAAAUCGUUAAUAUGAGAAUGAUUUAAAAAAAAUUGGAAUCAUGAUGUAGCCG